This 485-nucleotide ribosomal RNA is filed under the name uncultured bacterium. RNAcentral describes it as "partial 16S ribosomal RNA". It matches the Rfam family "Bacterial small subunit ribosomal RNA", at positions 30 to 506 of the family's 1533-position model. The record is from RNAcentral.
AUUGAACGCUGGCGGCAUGCCUUACACAUGCAAGUCGAACGGCAGCACGGGUGCUUGCCCCUGGUGGCGAGUGGCGAACGGGUGAGUAAUACAUCGGAACAUGUCCUGUAGUGGGGGAUAGCCCGGCGAAAGCCGGAUUAAUACCGCAUACGAUCUACGGAUGAAAGCGGGGGACCUUCGGGCCUCGCGCUAUAGGGUUGGCCGAUGGCUGAUUAGCUAGUUGGUGGGGUAAAGGCCUACCAAGGCGACGAUCAGUAGCUGGUCUGAGAGGACGACCAGCCACACUGGGCCUGAGACACGCCCCGACUUCUUACGGAAGGCAGCGUUGGGAAUUUUUGACCAAUGGGCGAAGGCCUAUUCCAGCAAGGCGGGGUGGGUGAAGAAGGCCUUCGGGUGGUAAAGCCCUUUUGUCGGGAAAGAAAUCCUUGGCCCUAAUCCGGUCGGGGAAUAACGGUACCGGAAGAAUAGGCACCGGCUAACUACGU